RNAcentral lists this ribosomal RNA (460 nucleotides) under uncultured bacterium. RNAcentral's name for it is "partial 16S ribosomal RNA". It matches the Rfam family "Bacterial small subunit ribosomal RNA", at positions 338 to 795 of the family's 1533-position model. The record is from RNAcentral.
CCUACGGGUGGCAGCAGUGAGGAAUAUUGGUCAAUGGGCGCGAGCCUGAACCAGCCAAGUAGCGUGAAGGAUGACUGCCCUACGGGUUGUAAACUUCUUUUAUAAAGGAAUAACGUGAGUCACGUGUGCCUUUUUGUAUGUAUUUUAUGAAUAAGGAUCGGCUAACUCCGUGCCAGCAGCCGCGGUAAUACGGAGGAUCCGAGCGUUAUCCGGAUUUAUUGGGUUUAAAGGGAGCGUAGAUGGGUUGUUAAGUCAGUUGCGAAAGUUUGCGUCUCAACCGUAAAAUUGCAAUUGAUACUGGCAGCCUAGAGUACAGUUGAGGUAGGCGGAAUGCGUGGUGUAGCGGUGAAAUGCUUAGAUAUCACGAAGAACUCCGAUUGCGAAGGCAGCCUACUAAGCUGCCACUGACAUUGAUGCUCGAAAGUGUGGGUAUCAAACAGGAUUAGAUACCCUGGUAGUC